This 246-nucleotide ribosomal RNA is filed under the name Escherichia coli. RNAcentral's name for it is "partial 23S ribosomal RNA". It matches the Rfam family "Bacterial large subunit ribosomal RNA", at positions 1133 to 1378 of the family's 2925-position model. Lineage: Bacteria; Pseudomonadati; Pseudomonadota; Gammaproteobacteria; Enterobacterales; Enterobacteriaceae. The record is from RNAcentral.
CGUAAUAGCUCACUGGUCGAGUCGGCCUGCGCGGAAGAUGUAACGGGGCUAAACCAUGCACCGAAGCUGCGGCAGCGACACUGUGUGUUGUUGGGUAGGGGAGCGUUCUGUAAGCCUGCGAAGGUGUGCUGUGAGGCAUGCUGGAGGUAUCAGAAGUGCGAAUGCUGACAUAAGUAACGAUAAAGCGGGUGAAAAGCCCGCUCGCCGGAAGACCAAGGGUUCCUGUCCAACGUUAAUCGGGGCAGG